UCUAAAAUGACAGAAAGAUGUGUAGGAUUUAAGCUCCUAAUAGGAAGGUAACCUUCUUUUAGAA
This 64-nucleotide transfer RNA is filed under the name Lauridromia dehaani. RNAcentral's name for it is "tRNA-Leu". The record is from RNAcentral. Lineage: Eukaryota; Metazoa; Arthropoda; Malacostraca; Decapoda; Dromiidae.